This 316-nucleotide long non-coding RNA is filed under the name Homo sapiens (human). RNAcentral describes it as "HSALNT0382310". The record is from RNAcentral. Lineage: Eukaryota; Metazoa; Chordata; Mammalia; Primates; Hominidae.
GAUUCAAGCAAUUCUCCUGCCUCAGCCUCCCAAGUAGCUGGGACUACAGAGUUAUGUCAUACAUAGGAUAUUUAAAGGAACCUCACUCGUCUCAAGUUUGGCCGAGACACCAAAACAAUAAGGUCACACUUCAAAGUUACGGGCAAGUCCACCAAUACAGGAUUUGCAAAAGAAGAUUAUAGAAAACCAAUUUUCAUGCCGGGCGCGCUGGCUGACGCCUGUAAUCCCAGCACUUUGGGAGGCCGAGGCAGGUGGAUCACGAGGUCAGGAGAUCGAGACCAUCCUGGCCAACAUGGUAAAACUCCAUCUCUACUAA